GGUAAAAUGGCUGAGUGCAAGCAUUGAACUGUAAAUUCAAAGACAGAGAUUCCAAACCUCUUUUUACCA
RNAcentral lists this transfer RNA (69 nucleotides) under Planigale sp. AJ-2010. Its description in RNAcentral is "transfer RNA-Tyr". It matches the Rfam family "tRNA". Rfam says of the family: Transfer RNA (tRNA) molecules are approximately 80 nucleotides in length. Their secondary structure includes four short double-helical elements and three loops (D, anti-codon, and T loops). Lineage: Eukaryota; Metazoa; Chordata; Mammalia; Dasyuromorphia; Dasyuridae. The record is from RNAcentral.